Mesocricetus auratus (golden hamster) is the source of this 2609-nucleotide long non-coding RNA. RefSeq lists it as uncharacterized. Lineage: Eukaryota; Metazoa; Chordata; Mammalia; Rodentia; Cricetidae. The record is from RefSeq and is a predicted model, not a curated record. The transcript has 2 exons.
CUCCCCGGCGGGUGGAACCGUGCUCCGGCACGCUGGGCGGGGUUUGCGGACACCAGAACUCUGUGCUGGGUGGGAUUUAGGAAAGCCGCGAGUUCUUAGUCUUACUCCUCGCUUUGGCACGUCGGGAGGACUCGGUCUUGGACGCGGCUUCGGAACAAACGGGAGGACUCACCCCUGGGCUGGACUCUGGAACGCGGGUGGGCCCUACGUAAACCUUGGACGGGACUUUGGCAAACAGGCAGUCUCAGCCUACAGCCUGGCUUUGGCAAGACAGACAGACCAGCUCCUUCCUGUCUACCACCCAUCGUGCCCCACCUGGGAAUAGUGGAACCGUGAUCUGCGGACACCAGAUGUUCCUAAAGGGUCGCUUCUGAGGUGCUGUGCCUGAGGCAGGCUUCGCCAAGAAGAGCCCUGGAAGCCUUAGUUGUUCCUUAUGGUUUUGAGGCACUUUCUGGGAAUCAAAACGGUGAGGCCAGAUUCUGCCCCCCCCACUCCUAUGACUGGCAGCACCCCGAUUUCUCCUUCCAUUGGUUAACUGAAUGGCCCUGCAGGGAGCCAGGCCUCUAACCACCAUCCAGGCUAAAUAAAUUCAGGAACGAUUUGUACAGUCCCAAAGUGGGACAAGGUGGGAGAGCUUCUGUCUACUGAGGGGACCCUGCUUCUCCAAGGCAACCGAGGAGCACAGGCAGAAUGGGCUCAGCAACGUAGGGAGGCCUUCCAACUUACUCCAUCACCCUAGCAUUUUCCUCUAACUAGCCUCUGCCACUGCGUGUGCUAUCAAUCGUAAGAAAAAGAGCAGGAAUGAGGUUAGACACGAGAGGAGUCUCACUACCCUGGGGUCAGUGUGCUGCUCAGAAAGCAAGAGUAUGAGGGGCCCAGAGAGUACUGGGACCGUCAAUCCAGUGGUCUGGCUGCCCAAAUGGGCACCAGGCCACGACAAAGUUGAUCAUCCACCCAGAUUAGGAUAAAGUUUAUCAGGUUGGAUGGCAAGUACUCAGUCCAAAUUCUGGCUUUUAAAGUCGCUUUCCAUCAGGUGCUCCCAGCUCUUGGGAGGCAGAAGCCGGAGGAUCUCCUCCGAGGCCAGCCUGGUUUACAAAGAGAGUUUCAGGACAGCCACAGCAGUUACACAGAGAAACCCCGUCUUGAGAAAUUAAAAAUAAAUAAAUAAAUGGGCUGGAGAUGAUUUAGCAGGUAAGAUCACUAAAGCACUGACUGCUUUUCUAGAACACCCAAAUUCGAUUUUUGUAAACCACAUGGCUGCUCACGACUGUCUCUAACUCCAGUUCCAGUGAAGUCUGACAUAUCCUCUUCUAGUCUCUUCAGGCACCAGGCGUGCACAUGGCACAGACACUUGCAUGUAGGCAAAAUAUUCAGACACACAAAAUAAAAUGUAAAAAAACCCAAAAAUCUGAGCAUGGCGGUUUACACUUUAAUCUUAGCACUCCGGAGGAGGCAGGUGGCUUUGGCCUGGUCUACACAGGGAGUUCCAGGCUAGUCAGGCUACAAAGGGAGACUGUCUCAAACACUCCCAACCAAUGAACUUGUUUAAAAACCUUAAAAAAAAACCUUGGGCGUUGGUGGCACACGCCUUUAAUACCAGAACUCAGGAGGCAGAGGCAGUUGGAUCUCUGGGAGUUCAAGGCCAGUCUGGUCUACAGAGCAAGUUCCAGGUCAGCCUCCACAACAAUACAGAGAAACCCUGUCUCAAAAAAACCAAAAAAAUAAAAACAAAUAAAUGUUGUUUUCCUAACCUUAGUUGGAAAUACAUUUGGAUAACUUUUACUUCCCAUUAUGUUUAAUAGUUGCUUCAUUUUCUAAUCAGUAAACGUAAUUACCUAUGAAGCUUUAGUGUCCAUUUUUACCUAAUAAUCUGUAGAUAAUUUUGAUAACCUGUACAUAGUUCUGUUCCAGCUGUACCAUUUCUUCUGGAGUAUCUUCUCUGAUGAAAACAUGCAGUACUCACACUAUUAAUACAAGUAACUUCCUGUUUUGAUAAACAAUUGUCAUUGGGGCCCUGAAUCUUCCCAGUGAACCUCACACCUUACUCAAAUAAAACGAGGACUGCUCAUUUAAUAUCUAAACAAUAGUGCUUUAUUGAAAAAGGGUUAGUUUAAGUGGCUACAAAGUUGAUGUGUAAAAUGUGUUUUCAAAAUACAUUUCUACAGGUACAAGUUACUUCUGAGUGAGAGAGCAUUUAUUAGCAAAAGUGUAUGUUUAGACCUGGGUGGAAAACCUGAAGGGGGAUUUAGAAUUGUGGCUGCAAGAUCUUCCAGCACACAUUGCCAUCCUUAGAUGUCAGCUGGCCCUAAAUGGCAACCUUACUCACAAACAUGGGGCUCCCACUGAAUGCUUAGGAAUGCUUUUGUUUCUUAAAAUUUUUUUUCCAAUCAAAUUAAUGUCAAAAUAACCCAAACAAAGAACUGCAUGGGUGUACUCUAGAGUCAGCAACACUUUUCUUGGUGGGAACCUCACACAAUGAACCGCUGGCCAUUCACAGUGAUGCAACAGUGAAGGGGCAAAAUGAGCACAUUAUUCUCUGUAACUUGUAACGGACAACUUUUAAGUCUCGUUUAACUAGUAGUAUUGAUUUUUGGCCUGAAUUAAACAAA